Lotus japonicus is the source of this 1747-nucleotide RNA transcript. RefSeq lists it as uncharacterized. Lineage: Eukaryota; Viridiplantae; Streptophyta; Magnoliopsida; Fabales; Fabaceae. The record is from RefSeq and is a predicted model, not a curated record. The transcript is spliced from 7 exons.
GUCGUUUUCGUUCAACCCUGUUCUUCACCGUUGUCUCAUCAACCCUACCUCUCUUAUCGCGUGUUUUCUCUCCCUUUCCACCAACUCCGCCGUACUAUCCUACUCUCUAUGAUUUCGAGCGCUCUCUCUCACGGUCCCUUUUCCUCCACGUGAAACUCAAACCCUAGAUGGCUUCCGUGUUAGCCUUCAUCUUUAAAUCUACUUCUCACCAAUCCAUCAAUACAGUCUCUUUUGAUUGAUCUGAUGAAGAAUUGCUUUCGGUCGCCACUAGAUGUGUAUCUCAAGCCAACCUUGCCGUCGUUUAUGGUACAACCAAUCGCUGAUCGACAGCUUAAAUGGUCAACUGUUCCUUUGUCAUCCUUCUUCACGAUAACCCCAACUACUAUCGUUGAAUGCAUCAGCAGAGCUUGAACCCUCCACAAACGGUCAGUUUCAAUCCCAAUCCCCAUUUUUUUUAAUAUAUUUCGUACAACUGUAAUGUGUUGAAGGAUAUCUCUUUCUCAGUUUUUUGAGGUGUUUUUUUGGCUAUAAAUACCCCAGUUGUGAACUCCCAUCUCAUCAUUCCCAUAUCCCAAUCUUUCUGCUUCAAACCCCCAUCUAUUCUAACUGUGCUUUUAUUUACUCUGUACCUGCACACAUGAAUUCCAUUCGAAGUUUAUGCCCUGGUAGACAAGCAUGGAAGAUCAGAGCAAGAGUUAUUAGGAAAUGGGAGAUGUCACCUGCUGCUGAACCUUCCAAACCAUAUGCUUUGCAGCUUGUGUUGAUUGAUUCAGAGGGGUGUAAAAUAGAGGCAAAUAUCAAGAAGUAUUUGAUGAGAAAAUUCCAAAGGGACAUAGUUGAAGGAAAUGUAUACACUUUUACAUUUUUUGUGUUGGUGGAUAACAACGGUUCUUAUCGUGCUGCUGAACAUGAUUACAAGGUUAUGGUUGCAAGUCUCGGUGAGAAGAAAUGUGCAGAAGGCAUUGGUGCACUGAAUUUUCAAGGACAACUUGAUGACAAGCCCCAAAAUGGGGGAAGGCCUUGCAAGAUGGCUCAUCUUAGAUGUGCUCCUUGCUGAUUUACUGCAGAAGUUGUUGUUGGAGCCAUCUUUUCUCAGGUUGAUCGUGACCAGGAGUAUUUAUCCACUUCUGAUUUCUGCUACUGUUAAAUUCUGUUGUUCUCCUUGCUGAAUUAAUGCAAAGUUUUUGUUGUGUGCCCUGCCCCUUGAUUCGUUUUUCAUUGCUGCCUUGGAACAUGACUAGAAUCAAAUGUCAAAUAUAGCUGAACUCAAGGAACAUUUAGAUGAGGAAAGAACAGACAUCAAGUGAGAAAAGGUUCAGAAUUUUAUCUCUUCUCAAGCUCAAUCACGAACUCACUUUCUCUUGGUGCAAAUGAUUAAGCUUAUUGUUAGAGUCUGGGCAGUGCAUCAACUUUCUUUUGCGUGGAAUUCUAGUGUCUCUUUCUAUCCAGGAUUCAAUUUCUUCAGUGUCAGCGGGGUAUAGUUUGAGGAGUGUUGACUGCAGAGAACAAUGUAGAAUAAUUGUUUGAAAUAUUGUAGCGGAGUAAUUUCUUUUCAUGUGUUGAACAACUAUCGGUUUUGUGGUAUGUUUCAUCAAUAUUUGUGUUAACACUCUGUUGAAUUUUUGUGUCUAAUGUUUUGGUCUGUUUUGGUCUCUAGCAUGAGAGGAGUGUUCUCAUGGGUUUUCUCUCUAUUAAUAUAUGUUGUAGUUGUCAAAAAUUAGUUAUUUAAUUGCUUAACUAUCCAUCA